UACGUAGGGACCAAGCGUUGUCCGGAAUCAUUGGGCGUAAAGAGCGUGUAGGCGGCUUGUUAAGUCUUGCGUGAAAUCUCGGGGCUCAACCCCGAGCGGUCGUGAGAAACUGGCAGGCUAGAGUGCGGGAGAGGAGAGUGGAAUUCCUGGUGUAGCGGUGAAAUGCGCAGAUAUCAGGAAGAACACCCGUGGCGAAGGCGGCUCUCUGGACCGGUACUGACGCUGAUGCGCGAAAGCGUGGGGAGCAAACGGG
Molecule: ribosomal RNA, 253 nt
Filed under: uncultured bacterium
Lineage: Bacteria
Description: partial 16S ribosomal RNA
Rfam family: Bacterial small subunit ribosomal RNA
Source: RNAcentral